This 253-nucleotide ribosomal RNA is filed under the name uncultured bacterium. Its description in RNAcentral is "partial 16S ribosomal RNA". It matches the Rfam family "Bacterial small subunit ribosomal RNA", at positions 524 to 776 of the family's 1533-position model. The record is from RNAcentral.
UACGUAGGGUGCAGGCGUUAAUCGGAAUUACUGGGCGUAAAGGGCGCGUAGGCGGCCUUCUAAGUCGGACGGGAAAUCCCCGGGCUCAACCCGGGAACUGCGUCCGAUACUGGAAGGCUUGAGUCCGGGAGAGGGAUGCGGAAUUCCAGGUGUAGCGGUGAAAUGCGUAGAUAUCUGGAGGAACACCGGUGGCGAAGGCGGCAUCCUGGACCGGCAUUGACGCUGAUGAGCGAAAGCUAGGGGAGCAAACGGG